GUUUGAUCAUGGCUCAGGAUGAACGCUAGCGGGAGGCUUAACACAUGCAAGUCGAGGGGCAUCACGAGGUAGCAAUACUUUGGUGGCGACCGGCAGACGGGUGAGUAACGCGUAUGCAACCUACCCUGUACAGGGGGAUAACCCGGAGAAAUUCGGACUAAUAUCCCAUAAUAUUAUUUGGAGGCAUCUUCGGAUAAUUAAAGUUCCGGCGGUACGGGAUGGGCAUGCGUAACAUUAGCUAGUUGGUAAGGUAACGGCUUACCAAGGCUUUGAUGUUUAGGGGUCCUGAGAGGGUGGUCCCCCACACUGGUACUGAGACACGGACCAGACUCCUACGGGAGGCAGCAGUGAGGAAUAUUGGUCAAUGGGCGCAAGCCUGAACCAGCCAUCCCGCGUGCAGGAAGACGGCCCUAUGGGUUGUAAACUGCUUUUCCGAAAGGCGAAACUCAGCGACGUGUCGUUGAUUGACGGUAUUUCGGGAAUAAGCAUCGGCUAACUCCGUGCCAGCAGCCGCGGUAAUACGGAGGAUGCGAGCGUUAUCCGGAUUCAUUGGGUUUAAAGGGUGCGUAGGCGGACUAAUAAGUCAGUGGUGAAAUCCUGCAGCUUAACUGCAGAACUGCCAUUGAUACUGUUAGUCUUGAGUUUGGUUAAGGUAGGCGGAAUGUGUAAUGUAGCGGUGAAAUGCUUAGAUAUUACACAGAACACCAAUUGCGUAGGCAGCUUACUGGACCGACACUGACGCUGAGGCACGAAAGCGUGGGGAUCGAACAGGAUUAGAUACCCUGGUAGUCCACGCCGUAAACGAUGAUUACUCGCUGUUGGCGAUACACAGUCAGCGGCUAAGCAAAAGCAAUAAGUAAUCCACCUGGGGAGUACGGCC
RNAcentral lists this ribosomal RNA (880 nucleotides) under uncultured bacterium. RNAcentral describes it as "bacterial SSU rRNA". It matches the Rfam family "Bacterial small subunit ribosomal RNA", at positions 11 to 887 of the family's 1533-position model. The record is from RNAcentral.